UACGAAGGGUGCAAACGUUGCUCGGAAUCAUUGGGCGUAAAGCGCACGUAGGCGGCGGCGUAAGCGGGAUGUGAAAGCCCAGGGCUCAACCCUGGAAGUGCAUCCCGAACUGUGUCGCUUGAAUCUCGGAGGGGGACAGAGAAUUCCCGGUGUAGAGGUGAAAUUCGUAGAUAUCGGGAGGAAUACCAGUGGCGAAGGCGCUGUCCUGGACGAAGAUUGACGCUGAGGUGCGAAAGCGUGGGGAGCAAACAGG
RNAcentral lists this ribosomal RNA (253 nucleotides) under uncultured bacterium. Its description in RNAcentral is "partial 16S ribosomal RNA". It matches the Rfam family "Bacterial small subunit ribosomal RNA", at positions 524 to 776 of the family's 1533-position model. The record is from RNAcentral.